Molecule: ribosomal RNA, 761 nt
Filed under: uncultured bacterium
Lineage: Bacteria
Description: bacterial SSU rRNA
Rfam family: Bacterial small subunit ribosomal RNA
Source: RNAcentral
GGGGGAUAACACUUAGAAAUAGGUGCUAAUACCGCAUAAGCGCACAGCUUCGCAUGAAGCAGUGUGAAAAACUCCGGUGGUAUACGAUGGUUCCGCGUCUGAUUAGCUAGUUGGCGGGGUAACGGCCCACCAAGGCAGCGAUCAGUAGCCGGCCUGAGAGGGUGAACGGCCACAUUGGGACUGAGACACGGCCCAAACUCCUACGGGAGGCAGCAGUGGGGAAUAUUGCACAAUGGGGGAAACCCUGAUGCAGCGACGCCGCGUGAGUGGAGAAGUAUUUCGGUACGUAAAGCUCUAUCAGCAGGGAAGAAAAUGACGGUACCUGACUAAGAAGCCCCGGCUAACUACGUGCCAGCAGCCGCGGUAAUACGUAGGGGGCAAGCGUUAUCCGGAUUUACUGGGUGUAAAGGGAGCGUAGACGGCAGCGCAAGUCUGGAGUGAAAUGCCGGGGCCCAACCCCGGAACUGCUUUGGAAACUGUGCAGCUUGAGUGCGGGAGAGGUAAGUGGAAUUCCUAGUGUAGCGGUGAAAUGCGUAGAUAUUAGGAGGAACACCAGUGGCGAAGGCGGCUUACUGGACCGUAACUGACGUUGAGGCUCGAAAGCGUGGGGAGCAAACAGGAUUAGAUACCCUGGUAGUCCACGCCGUAAACGAUGAUUACUAGGUGUCGGGGGACCAAGGUCCUCCGGUGCCGGCGCAAACGCAUUAAGUAAUCCACCUGGGGAGUACGUUCGCAAGAAUGAAACUCAAAGGAAUUGACGG